GUGCUUGCUUCAGCACAUAUACUAAAACUGGAAUGAAACAGACAAGAUUAGUAUGGCCCCCUGUGCAAGGAUGACACUAAAAUUUGUGAAGCAUUCCAUAUUUAC
Molecule: small nuclear RNA, 105 nt
Filed under: Dasypus novemcinctus (nine-banded armadillo)
Lineage: Eukaryota; Metazoa; Chordata; Mammalia; Cingulata; Dasypodidae
Source: RNAcentral